AGCUGCGGCGCGGUGGUGCCGGCACCGCCAGCGUACACGUGGUGAAUCGUGCCCUGCAUUGAACGUGCAAGAGUGAUCACGGAAUAUAAUUAUAUAUCACCGCUUAUAACGGGUACUUGACUGAAAUACUUGGGUCAGAAAAAAGCAGUCAUUUUUUUAAAGUUCUCAGUGUUCUUCACAAAGAGGGAGAUAACACAUUCAUCUGGAGAUUCUGUGAUUUUAGAAGAAAGCAAAAACAUCAAAACACACCAAAAAAUACAUUAUAUGGAGGCGGGUUCCCAUGAACUCCUACAAGUGAACUCCUACAAGUUAAAAUCCAACAUGAUGUUCUGGGAAGUUGAUGCAGGCAAAAAAAAAGAAGUUUAAGAACUGGCACUUCCCCAAAGAAAUAACACUAAGAGUAUAAGUAAAUGAACUCUCCAUGAAGAAAAUGCACCCGGCAGAGUAAAAUAUGCCUGGCUGUCACAAGCUCCUCCUGAGCAUUUCUCAGAUAGGAAUGAAGCUCCAGAAAAGAGAAUUUGGGUCAGAUUACUUGGAGGAGCUACAAAAGCAUAGCCUGAUCAUGCAGGGAUAAAGUAAGAAAAGGCAGCAGAAAAUGAGACACAACUAGUAAGGGACAUUUGGGGUAACAUGAAAUAAUUUUAAGUAUGCUACCAGGCAUGGAAAAGAAUCAAGCAAAUGAUUAUGCCCCUGUCAGGCAGAACUGCAAACAAGGAAAACAAUGUAGAAGAAGUUAUUUAGGGAGCUCAUACAAGCGGCUCGUUGUCAGAAGGAUGUUAAUGAACUCAGUGAUGGUUCAGAAAACAUGUUUACAUUACUGAAGAUUAUACCAAACUGAGAGUCCUUCGAAUGCUGGAGGACAGAUGUUGGGUUUAGAAGGAUUUUCGCACACUAGUGGUUUGGAUUGGGAAAAGGAGGGUUCUAUUCAACGGGGAUAAGUGCCUGCUACUGGGUGGCGGCAGAUGCGAUCAGCUAUGCAAACAGGAAAGGCAGAACUACUGGGUGUUCUGCAGGGAAAAAAGCUGCAAUUAUAUGACCAAAAACCCAAAAAAAGUUCUGUUUUUAUGUGAAUCACAAUCUAUGAAAAAGGGAUAAUGUCACAGAGCUGCAAUGAGAAAGUUAAACCACAUAAAACAAUACAGAAAAAGGAUUGACUCUUUGUGAAACACCCUUAUUUACAUGGCCCUAGGAAAACUUAGUAGCCAUGAUCUGUUUGGUUCAGUAAAUAUGUGGCUCAUAGAAAGAGCAGAAAAAACAAUCUGAAUUAUCAGGUAUCUAUAAACAUUACUUAGAAGAAAAUUUUUUAAAAAACCCACAACGUGGAAUUUACGUUGAAGGGAGAAAGUAAAAGAAGGAGAAACAUACAUUUCUUUGCAGUACUGAUAUAUGCAAGUGCUGUAAAGAUAAGAGGAUUAAUUCACUUUCCAGUUCCAUAGUGGAUGGAUCAAGGUUUAAAACAAAGCAAGAUUAGAAAAUAAAAAUUAUAAGGAUGGGAAGAAGAUUGGCUGG
RNAcentral lists this long non-coding RNA (1509 nucleotides) under Zonotrichia albicollis (white-throated sparrow). RNAcentral's name for it is "lncRNA (ENSZALG00000018132.1)". Lineage: Eukaryota; Metazoa; Chordata; Aves; Passeriformes; Passerellidae. The record is from RNAcentral.